GGGACACUUAUUCUUAUUCAGUUUCUUCUCAAAGUGAAGAUAACUCCUUGUAAAUGUCCUAGAGAAAUAUAGUAGCUUUCUAUUCACUCUUAGCAAGUAAAAAGGGUGGAACCUUCCACUACUAACACCA
Molecule: small nucleolar RNA, 130 nt
Organism: Echinops telfairi (small Madagascar hedgehog)
Lineage: Eukaryota; Metazoa; Chordata; Mammalia; Afrosoricida; Tenrecidae
Source: Ensembl